This is a small nuclear RNA of Chionomys nivalis (European snow vole), 103 nucleotides long. The record is from RefSeq and is a predicted model, not a curated record. NCBI's taxonomy places the organism in Eukaryota, Metazoa, Chordata, Mammalia, Rodentia, Cricetidae.
GUGCUUGCUUCAGCAGCACAUAUACUAAAACUAGAACAAUACAGACAAGAUCAUGAUUCCUGAACAGGGUGACAGGCAGGUUCGUGAAGUAGUCCAUAUUUUU